UCACCUCAAUCCUAAUAGUUUUGCGACUAUUAAGAUUGGAUUUGGGAGUCUGCUGGCCCUCUCUUUGGGUCGGCUCUCCUUGAAUGCAUGAGUGAGCGUCUGACUCGCGUCGCUGGUGUGAUAGUUAUUUCACCAUUGAGGCGCUUGUCUAAUGAGCUUGCUUUCGAACCGUCUUCUCAUUGGAGACACUACUUGACAU
Molecule: unclassified non-coding RNA, 199 nt
Filed under: uncultured fungus
Lineage: Eukaryota; Fungi
Description: sequence contains ITS2
Source: RNAcentral